Molecule: transfer RNA, 118 nt
Organism: Hirsutella minnesotensis 3608
Lineage: Eukaryota; Fungi; Ascomycota; Sordariomycetes; Hypocreales; Ophiocordycipitaceae
Rfam family: tRNA
About the family: Transfer RNA (tRNA) molecules are approximately 80 nucleotides in length. Their secondary structure includes four short double-helical elements and three loops (D, anti-codon, and T loops). Further hydrogen bonds mediate the characteristic L-shaped molecular structure. tRNAs have two regions of fundamental functional importance: the anti-codon, which is responsible for specific mRNA codon recognition, and the 3' end, to which the tRNAs corresponding amino acid is attached (by aminoacyl-tRNA synthetases). tRNAs cope with the degeneracy of the genetic code in two manners: having more than one tRNA (with a specific anti-codon) for a particular amino acid; and 'wobble' base-pairing, i.e. permitting non-standard base-pairing at the 3rd anti-codon position.
Source: Rfam
GGUAAGAUGGCCGAGUUGGUUAUGGCGCCAGGUUAAGGACGUCUGUAGGACAAUUAAAUCCUUAGCACGAUUAUUCCUGGUGGAGCAAUCCUCCUGGGUUCAAGUCCCAGUCUUAUCA